This 2197-nucleotide long non-coding RNA is filed under the name Nicotiana benthamiana. RNAcentral's name for it is "long non-coding RNA (NBEN_LNC018809)". Lineage: Eukaryota; Viridiplantae; Streptophyta; Magnoliopsida; Solanales; Solanaceae. The record is from RNAcentral.
UGGACGAGUUUCUUCUACGUGGAAAUUGUAAAAUUUAGAGUCAAAUCUAAAGAAACUUUAAAAUGAUUCUGUACAAGUAUGUAUAGCCGAAGAAGAAUUAAAUGGCAGUUAACGAUGAAACAAACUGCUAGCAGAAGAAUAUGCAUUGUGCAAAUAUCUAGUGACGCAGCAACAUGACUAUAAACAAGGUGUCCGGUUUGCUAGUGUUCAUCGUUCUUUUUGGCAUGAGUAGGAGUCUCACAUUGGGUCAAUCAGUGGCUUAUUACUAUACAAACUAGUGGGGCUCAACUCAAUACUUCACUUGUGACCAUUUGUUUCAAUUGCUUACCAUUUGCUUUUUUUUUCUUUUCUUUCUAAAUCCUCAUAGUAGACUCUCUAGAUUGAAGGCUUCUGUCAACUAGCUAUAGUUGAGCUUCUGUUAACUCUUCUCUCGUUUUCCCUUUGUUAUAUAGUUGAGCUUCUGAUAGUGAUCUUCUCUCUCUCUCUCUCUCUGACUUUCUGUGAGAAAACAUUUGUACAAAGACAAUAUAUCCGAGAAAAGAAAGAGCAGCAGCUUCAAUGGAGGGGCUCCCCUCUGGUUAUCGUCCCAACUUUGGAAUUUGUCUCAUCAACCACGAUCAUUUGGUACCUUUUUUCUUUUCUUUUCUCCCGAUCAUUCAUUAAACAUUUAUUGAAUUAUUCCUUUCAUUUACUACUCUAUAAAUAAAGCUGCUACCUUUCUAACUUAAUUUUAUUGAUAGCUGAUUUGUUUGCUUUGGUUUGUGGUUCUGGGAUUUAUAGGUUUCUUAUUAGUUGGAAUUUCCAGUUAGUUAUCUUGAUUAAAAUUUGUCAAUUCCUUGCAUAUCUAUCAAAAAAUUCCAGAAAAUACACAUGAAUGUGAUGGUUCAAAUUCAAACCGCUAGAGAACAUGUUAGGAAAAUUGUAUUGCUGUUGUCUGAAGAUAAAUAAAUCAAACAACACUUUUUAACUUAAGAAAAAAACAAAUAAAGUGAUCCCGCAGUUGGCCUAGGGAAGAUCUUCACAGCCUUCUGCUGUCUAGCAGCACGUCUCCUUGUUUUCCGAGCUGGCUGGUUGAACCAUGUACUUACAUAGUUUUUCCUUGAUCAUCCCAAACAAUCCCAUUCUGAAUUCAGCCUAGCAAAACCAAUUCUGGGAGCUUCCAUUUCACUGUUGUAGUGGAGAAAUGAUGCUUUGCCAUAUUCAUGACAUCCUUAGAAGUUAUUCUUGGAAAUUGCUUAUGAGUAACUAAAAUGAGGUUUUCUUUGAUUGCUGGGAUAAUCUUGUUUAUGAUUGGUACAGCCAGAACAAAUAGAUGCUUUGCCAUAUAAGUCUGGAUAAUCUCCACAAGAAAAAAGGAAAAUUUAAAGGGGAAUUUCUUGUGCCAAAUCAUCUUGUUUACUAAAGAGGUAUUCUGAUAAGUUCUAAUGCAAUUCCAAACAGAUUUACAACUAAUUUUUUCUCCUUGUUUUCCUAGCUGGCUGAUUGAACCAAGUCCUUACAUAGUUUUGCCAAUGCUUCAUGAAGUGCCCAUUGGGUAUAAGAUUGUUGUGCUUCAUCUCUUACCUGGUUGGAGGCUUUAGGUGUAGAAAGUCUUUUGCAUUCUUACACGGAUUUAAAGACAACCAAUUACUUGUUGUCAUCUCUGACUUGUUUUUGAAAAACUUUGUGCUUUAAGAUUUUUACCGGACAUAAGAUUGUUUCAUCCUAGCAAAAAGAACUGAAGACUUAGAGAUCGACAUUCUAGUACAUUUAAAGUAAGGUGGUCUUACUUGUUUUUGAAAAACUUUGUGCUUUAAGAUUUUUACCGGAUAUAAGAUUGUUUCAUCCUAGCAAAAAGAACUGAAGAUUUAGAGAUCGAUUCUAGUACAUUUGUAAACUUUGUGCUUUAUUUAUUGUUUAUGGACCAUACCCAUUCUUAUAAUGAUAAACCAACUCUGGAAGGAUAAUGACUUUAUUUAUCCUCUUUUGUAGGUGGAGCAAUUGAAGAAAGGGAAGAUGGAGAUUGUGAAAAACUUGACCUUACCUAAGCACUUUGAAUUGUUAUCUAUGUACUAGGAAUCUUCUGUUAUCAAUAUUUGAACUCACUCUUGAAGUGUUGAUGUAAAACAUAUAUGAUUAGGUUAAAAUAUUUUGGUCUUAUGGAGUAAGUGUUGAGGUAAAACUUAUGUGAUUGGGUUAAAAUAUUUUAAUUUUAUGG